Molecule: unclassified non-coding RNA, 215 nt
Filed under: Neoascochyta desmazieri
Lineage: Eukaryota; Fungi; Ascomycota; Dothideomycetes; Pleosporales; Didymellaceae
Description: partial internal transcribed spacer region
Rfam family: Eukaryotic small subunit ribosomal RNA (bases 1-46)
Source: RNAcentral
AAGUCGUAACAAGGUUUCCGUAGGUGAACCUGCGGAAGGAUCAUUACCGAGAGUUGUAGGCUUCUGUCUACCACCUCUUACCCAUGUCUUUUGCGUACUUAACGUUUCCUCGGCAGGUCCGCCUGCCGUAGGACAAUUAUAAACCAUUUGCAGUUGCAGUCAGCGUCUGAAAAACAUAAUAAUUACAACUUUUAACAACGGAUCUCUUGGUUCUG